RNAcentral lists this small RNA (89 nucleotides) under Marmota monax (woodchuck). Lineage: Eukaryota; Metazoa; Chordata; Mammalia; Rodentia; Sciuridae. The record is from RNAcentral.
GCUGGGCAUGGUAGUGCACGCCUGUAAUCCCAGCAGCUUGGGAGGCUGGGGCAGGAGGAUUACAAGUCCCAGGCCAGCUUCAGCUACUU